This 405-nucleotide ribosomal RNA is filed under the name uncultured bacterium. RNAcentral's name for it is "partial 16S ribosomal RNA". It matches the Rfam family "Bacterial small subunit ribosomal RNA", at positions 28 to 526 of the family's 1533-position model. The record is from RNAcentral.
GAUGAACGCUGGCGGCGUGCCUAAUACAUGCAAGUCGAGCGAAGCGGGGACGGGUGAGUAACACGUGGAUAACCUCCUAUCAGACUGGGCUAACUUCGGGAAACCGGAGCUAAAACGGAUACUUCUAGAUGGAUCCUCGCUGCAUUUGCUCGUUGGUACGGUAACGGCUUAACAAGGCACCGAUGCAUAGCCGACCUGAGAGUGUGAGAGUCCACACUGGAACUGAGAUAGGGGCCGGACUCCUACGGGAGGCAGCAGUAGGGAAGCGUACGCAGUGGGAGAAAGCCUGACGGAGCAACGCCUCGUGAGUGAGGAAGGUCUUCGGAUCGUAAAACUCUGUUAUGAUGGAAGCGGUACCUAAUCAGAAAGCCACGGCUAACUACGUGCCAGCAGCCGCGGUAAUUC